UACGAAGGGGGCGAGCGUUGUUCGGAAUUACUGGGCGUAAAGGGCGCGCAGGCGGCUCUGAAAGUCAGAUGUGAAAGCCCCGGGCUUAACCUGGGAAUUGCAUUUGAUACUUUGGAGCUUGAGUGUGGGAGAGGAGAGUGGAAUUCCCAGUGUAGAGGUGAAAUUCGUAGAUAUUGGGAAGAACACCGGUGGCGAAGGCGGCUCUCUGGACCACAACUGACGCUGAGGCGCGAAAGCGUGGGGAGCAAACAGG
This 253-nucleotide ribosomal RNA is filed under the name uncultured bacterium. RNAcentral describes it as "partial 16S ribosomal RNA". It matches the Rfam family "Bacterial small subunit ribosomal RNA", at positions 524 to 776 of the family's 1533-position model. The record is from RNAcentral.